This 451-nucleotide ribosomal RNA is filed under the name uncultured bacterium. Its description in RNAcentral is "bacterial SSU rRNA". It matches the Rfam family "Bacterial small subunit ribosomal RNA", at positions 29 to 526 of the family's 1533-position model. The record is from RNAcentral.
AACGAACGCUGGCGGCAGGCUUAACACAUGCAAGUCGAGCGAGACCUUCGGGUUUAGCGGCGGACGGGUGAGUAACGCGUGGGAACGUGCCCUUUACUACGGAAUAGCCCAGGGAAACUUGGAUUAAUACCGUAUACGCCCUUCGGGGGAAAGAAUUUCGGUGAAGGAUCGGCCCGCGUUGGAUUAGGUAGUUGGUGGGGUAAUGGCCUACCAAGGCGACGAUCAGUAGCUGGUCUGAGAGGAUGAUCAGCCACAUUGGGACUGAGACACGGCCCAAACUCCUACGGGAGGCAGCAGUGGGGAAUAUUGGACAAUGGGCGCAAGCCUGAUCCAGCCAUGCCGCGUGAGUGAUGAAGGCCCUAGGGUUGUAAAGCUCUUUUGUGCGGGAAGAUAAUGACGGUACCGCAAGAAUAAGCCCCGGCUAACUUCGUGCCAGCCGCCGCCGUAAGAC